RNAcentral lists this long non-coding RNA (1327 nucleotides) under Salmo salar (Atlantic salmon). RNAcentral describes it as "lncRNA (ENSSSAG00000113828.1)". Lineage: Eukaryota; Metazoa; Chordata; Actinopteri; Salmoniformes; Salmonidae. The record is from RNAcentral.
CCAGGACCCCUAAGGCAGCAGUAUAACCCUCUCCAGGACCCCUAAGGCAGCAGUAUAACCCUCUCCAGGACCCCUAAGGGAGCUGUAUAACCCUCUCCAGGACCCCUAAGGGAGCUGUAUAACCCUCUCCAGGACCCCUAAGGGAGCUGUAUAACCCUCUCCAGGACCCCUAAGGGAGCUGUAUAACCCUCUCCAGGACCCCUAAGGCAGCAACAGUAUAACCCUCUCCAGGACCCCUAAGGCAGCAGCAGUAUAACCCUCUCCAGGACCCCUAAGGGAGCUGUAUAACCCUCUCCAGGACCCCUAAGGGAGCUGUAUAACCCUCUCCAGGACCCCUAAGUGAGCUGUAUAACCCUCUCCAGGACCCCUAAGGCAGCAGUAUAACCCGCUCCAGGGCCCCUAAGGCAGCAGUAUAACCCUCUCCAGGACCCCUAAGGCAGCAGUAUAACCCUCUCCAGGACCCCUAAGGCAGCAGGACUCAUCUGGAACUCAGGCCACAUCAUGAACUUGUCCAUCCCCUCAAUCCUGUUCCGUCUGGGGGGGGGGUUAUGCAAGGCUUGUCCCUGCUCCUCUUCCACGGAGCUUACCUGAACCAAAGCUUCCUGGGUCUGUUCUCUUCUCUCUGACCGUGGUGGACACCCUGCUGAGAUUGUUCUCCCGGGAGACACCUCCCUCUUGGGCUAGCACCUCACCAGGCACCACGUCUGUCUGCUAGUCCAGAUCGCCCGCUGGUCCGACGACCGCCUCCUCUGGCCUGUGGUGGUUCUGACUGGGCUAGACCACUACUGGACCACCAACAACCUGGGUCAUGUUCCCGGUCCGACUGAGACCACUUUUCUCUGGGGUGAAGUUAGAGAUCUAGGAUCAGCUUCCCGGGCUCCCCCAAUCCUGACCGUAGCCAUUAGUGGGCAAAAUGCUAAACUCACCCAGCAUCUCCAUCUAGGGGCAACUUCACCCUACACCAUGAGGACUCCAUGCUGGGAUCUAAAGAUUGUGCUCUUAGUGGUCGUCUCUCUGCUGUGGAUAGUGGCCCUGCUCUAUGUGUUCCUAGUGUCUGGGGGUCAUUCUAGUGUUGGGGAACCAGUCUCCUCACCAGCUGCAUCAGUGCUGGGUGUUCACUAGCGCUCGUACCUCAGUUGGCCAAAGUGCUGCUACUGACUGUGGCCUGUGCAGUGCUGUAUGUUCAUAGCCACACAGGGUCUCCUAUGGGUAUCCACAGGGGUGGAAGGAUGCUCACAUGGAUUCAUCCUGCAUUUUGGAGUCACAGUGGCUGGCGGUGCAGAGUAGAGGUGUUUCGCCAGGUGUUGUGGAUUUUCCUCAGAGUGGG